CGUACACUCCUGCGGGAGGCAGCAGUGGGGAAUAUUGCACAAUGGGCGCAAGCCUGAUGCAGCCAUGCCGCGUGUAUGAAGAAGGCCUUCGGGUUGUAAAGUACUUUCAGCGGGGAGGAAGGCAAUACGGUUAAUAACCGUGUUGAUUGACGUUACCCGCAGAAGAAGCACCGGCUAACUCCGUGCCAGCAGCCGCGGUAAUACGGAGGGUGCAAGCGUUAAUCGGAAUUACUGGGCGUAAAGCGCACGCAGGCGGUCUGUCAAGUCGGAUGUGAAAUCCCCGGGCUCAACCUGGGAACUGCAUUCGAAACUGGCAGGCUUGAGUCUUGUAGAGGGGGGUAGAAUUCCAGGUGUAGCGGUGAAAUGCGUAGAGAUCUGGAGGAAUACCGGUGGCGAAGGCGGCCCCCUGGACAAAGACUGACGCUCAGGUGCGAAAGCGUGGGGAGCAAACAGGAUUAGAAACCCCAGUAGUCCCAUG
RNAcentral lists this ribosomal RNA (478 nucleotides) under uncultured organism. Its description in RNAcentral is "partial 16S ribosomal RNA". It matches the Rfam family "Bacterial small subunit ribosomal RNA", at positions 330 to 799 of the family's 1533-position model. The record is from RNAcentral.